This is a long non-coding RNA of Pezoporus occidentalis (night parrot), 827 nucleotides long. RefSeq lists it as uncharacterized. The transcript has 3 exons. NCBI's taxonomy places the organism in Eukaryota, Metazoa, Chordata, Aves, Psittaciformes, Psittacidae. The record is from RefSeq and is a predicted model, not a curated record.
GGAGAAUCUCAGCUGAUCUGGGACGCAGAUGUCUGGAAUCCUGGACAUGUCUGCAUGGUGCUGCUCUAGUUGGUGAAAAAUCUUGCAAUCCCUAAAAAUCCUUAAACAUUUAUUCAUCUUCAAAUAGAAUUUGGAAAGUUGUGGAGAUUUUUCUGAUUCCUUAAACCAUUUUUUGCAGAAGAUCGUGUACAAAUAAUCUACACCAAUAAGACUGGGAAGAAGAAAAGAGAACAACAAAAGUGCAUUCUGACCUCUAAUGCCAGGAAACAACUCAAUAAAUGGACAGAACGCUCUUCAUAAAUAUGGAAAGAUCCAGACCUCUCUAGUGUCUAUAAAACUGUAAAUGACCACAGUCUGCAGCUGGAAAAGCCUGAUGACUGGCAAGAGACCCAGUGAGGAUGGAAAAACCAAGCUGUGUUAUUAAAAGGUACAAGACAUCAAUCCCAAAUCACUGAGAUGAUGCAAAUAACUUAUUGUAUUUUUUAAUGUUUCCUUUAAUUGAACAGCUUUGUUCAUGCUUUGUUGCUAUGUGAAGAUAAGCCAGAACAGGGGAGAAAGCACAUUUGGAGUUGCUAUUUCUCUAAUUGCCAAUGAAAUCUACACCGUCCAAGCUGGUGAGCAAAAGUGAUCUCUGCUUUGUUAUUUCUCUUCAUGCUCUUUCUUGUAGAUAAUAUUGAAAAAAAUGCUUUGGUUUUAUAUUACCUUUACAUGUAUGGAACAGUCAAGCAAACUUACCCUGUCAAAGUUUGUGAUAAUCCCUUCUAAAAAAUUUACUCAAUCUGCAUGAUGUACAAUUAAUACUGUAAUUUAGUUUUACUUUCUGGUUG